Long non-coding RNA from Engraulis encrasicolus (European anchovy), 1469 nucleotides. RefSeq lists it as uncharacterized. The record is from RefSeq and is a predicted model, not a curated record. NCBI's taxonomy places the organism in Eukaryota, Metazoa, Chordata, Actinopteri, Clupeiformes, Engraulidae. The transcript has 2 exons.
GUAGGCGUUUCAUUUCAAACCAUCUACGAGUGCAGAUAUGUCUUAUGAGCAGAAAAGACUCGUGUUAUUACGGUGCCAAUGUAUUUUCUUUCGUAAAAACAAUACGCUAGUUAAUAGUUAGCUACCAUAAUAGCUUAUCUAGUUAGCAUAACUACCCAGUACAAUGAACAGCUAAUAAUGAUGUGACCUGUACGUGUGCAUUUAUUGUUUUGGCAAAUAUUGUUAAUCACCGUCGUCACAUUUCGUCUUGACAUCUGGUGAAGAGGGCAAAAAAGUAUUGGGCUGAGUGCAAGCAGCUACAUUUAGAACAAGACGAGGGAAAACUCACUGUAACACUAUGCUAGGUCCGACAAGGUUUUCAUAUCGAGUAGACAUCUGUAAAUAAGGCGUGUGUUGGUUUAAUGUAGCGAUUGUUUUAGGAUGGGGCUCCGUUUAAGUCAUUAAAUCUGCACGCACAUAACCGUGUUGCCCUGGCUGGUCGUAAUGGUUCAAAGCGCUUACGUGCAACUUUGAAGUUGCAAUUCAUCCUCCUGUCACUUUCGAGCAGCUACCGGUAAAAUUUGCUGAACCCUCGCUCUCGUACCCGAAACAGCAUCAUCACCAGUGUUGGGCAGUAAUGCAUUACAAAAGUAAUUAAUUGCCUCUACUGUAAUGCAUUACAGGGCAAAAAUAUGUAAUAUUAACUUAGUUACAAUGCUUACAAGUUACAUUUCAGUGUGGUGGGUCAGAAAUAAGCUACUGUAUUCCUGAACCUGGUAGUUUUAGUUUGCAUGCUGCCAAAACACCUCUUGGGUGGGAGGUAAAAGUCAUGACUCAUGCAAAAGUAGUGUAAUGCCUUAUAUUUUAAAUAUAGUAAUGAUUUAGUGUAAGGGAUUAUUUUGAAAAGACAGUAACAUAACAUGUAAGCUUAAUCAGUAGUAACUUGCCCAACACUGAUCAUCACCCAUACGACAUGCAUUUCAUUUUAUUAUAACCAGGGUGCGAUUUGUAGUCAGGGAUUGUCCCCCCUUGUGGUCUUGAUAUCGCCACUUUUUCUGCAUGAUUUUAUCACAGUUCAAUGUAAUUCCAUUGAUAUCGCUUACAAUCUGAAACAUAUUCCCCCUUCUGGUUUUCCAGAUCACAAAUCGCACCCUGAUUAUAACCAUUGCAUUACUCUGGUUAUACAGUAGCCCACUACUUUUCAUUACAUGUAAUGAUGUAGAGAUCUAGAGCUAAUAUAAUGCUUCUCCCAGUAGGCCUAGUGGAUCCACACCGUGACCUAAGUGCACUGGACCCUGUUGAUAUGCAGCCACCUCAGCUUCAUGAAGAAACGGCAAGAUUCAGAUGACUACACCGUUUCAGAUCUACUCAUCUCGCUCACCUGUCCACCUGGAUGAAGGAUCACACUCUGCAGCUGAACAUGUCCAAAACCAAGCUCCCAAUCAAAUUGUUCUAGGUUAAUCUCUAACAACAACCUUUUUCUUCCUGCA